This 215-nucleotide ribosomal RNA is filed under the name uncultured bacterium. RNAcentral describes it as "partial 16S ribosomal RNA". It matches the Rfam family "Bacterial small subunit ribosomal RNA", at positions 524 to 743 of the family's 1533-position model. The record is from RNAcentral.
GACAGAGGGGGCAAGCGUUGCUCGGAAUCACUGGGCGUAAAGGGCGCGUAGGCGGGAUGGCAAGUCGGUCGUGAAAUCCUUCGGCUCAACCGAAGAACGUCGGCCGAUACUGCCGUUCUUGAGGGAUGCAGAGGAGAUUGGAAUUCCCGGUGUAGCGGUGAAAUGUGUAGAGAUCGGGAGGAACACCGGUGGCGAAAGCGUGGGGAGCAAACGGG